This 800-nucleotide ribosomal RNA is filed under the name uncultured bacterium. Its description in RNAcentral is "bacterial SSU rRNA". It matches the Rfam family "Bacterial small subunit ribosomal RNA", at positions 8 to 803 of the family's 1533-position model. The record is from RNAcentral.
AGAGUUUGAUCCUGGCUCAGAUUGAACGCUGGCGGAAUGCUUUACACAUGCAAGUCGAGCGGCAGCGCGGGGGCAACCCUGGCGGCGAGCGGCGAACGGGUGAGUAACACAUCGGAACGUACCCUGUCGUGGGGGAUAACCAACCGAAAGGUUGGCUAAUACCGCAUACGACCUGAGGGUGAAAGCGGGGGAUCGCAAGACCUCGCGCGAGAGGAGCGGCCGAUGUCGGAUUAGCUAGUUGGUGAGGUAAAGGCUCACCAAGGCGACGAUCCGUAGCGGGUCUGAGAGGACGGCCCGCCACACUGGAACUGAGACACGGUCCAGACUCCUACGGGAGGCAGCAGUGGGGAAUUUUGGACAAUGGGCGCAAGCCUGAUCCAGCCAUUCCGCGUGAGUGAAGAAGGCCUUCGGGUUGUAAAGCUCUUUCGGCAGGAACGAAACGGUGUGGGCCAAUACCCUGCAUCAAUGACGGUACCUGAAGAAGAAGCACCGGCUAACUACGUGCCAGCAGCCGCGGUAAUACGUAGGGUGCGAGCGUUAAUCGGAAUUACUGGGCGUAGAGCGUGCGCAGGCGGUUUUGUAAGACAGAUGUGAAAUCCCCGGGCUCAACCUGGGAACUGCGUUUGUGACUGCAAGACUCGAGUGUGGCAGAGGGGGGUGGAAUUCCACGUGUAGCAGUGAAAUGCGUAGAGAUGUGGAGGAACACCGAUGGCGAAGGCAGCCCCCUGGGUCAACACUGACGCUCAUGCACGAAAGCGUGGGUAGCAAACAGGAUUAGAUACCCUGGUAGUCCACGCCCU